This 725-nucleotide ribosomal RNA is filed under the name uncultured Fusobacterium sp. RNAcentral describes it as "bacterial SSU rRNA". It matches the Rfam family "Bacterial small subunit ribosomal RNA", at positions 28 to 776 of the family's 1533-position model. The record is from RNAcentral. Lineage: Bacteria; Fusobacteriati; Fusobacteriota; Fusobacteriia; Fusobacteriales; Fusobacteriaceae.
GAAGAGCGCUGACAGAAUUCUUAACACAUGCAAGUCAACUGGAAUUUCGUUUUGGGUGGGGGAGGGGGAGAGUAACGCGUAAAGAACUUCCCUCAGAGUUAGAGACAACUUUUGGAAGCGAACGCUAAUCCCUGAUAUUAAGAUUUUAGGGCACCCUAGAAUUAUGAAAGCUAUAUGCGCUGUGAGAGAUCUUUGCGUCCCAUUAGCUAGUUAGAGAGGUAAGGGCUCCCCAAGGCGAUGAUGUGUACCCGGCCCAGAGAGGGUGAACGGCCACAAGGGGUCUGAGACGGCGCCCUUCCCUCUGCGGGAGGCAGCAGUGGGGGUAUUUUAGACAAUGGACCAAGAGUCUGAUCCAGCAAUUCUGUGUGCAAGAUGAAGUUUCUCCGAAUGUAAAGUGCUCACAGUUGAGGAGAAAAAAAUGACUGUCCCAACAGAAGAAGUGACGGCUAAAUACGUGCCAGCAGCCGCGGUAAUACGUAUGUCACGAGCGUUAUCCGGAUUUAUUGGGCGUAAAGCGCGUCUAGGUGGUUAUGUAAGUCUGAUGUGAAAACGCAGGGCUCAACUCUGUAUUGCGUUGGAAACUGUAUAACUAGUGCUCUGGAGAUGUAAGCGGAACUACAAGUGUAGAGGUGAUUUUCGUAGAUAUUUGUAGGAAUGCCGAUGGGGAAGACAGCUUACUGGACAGAUACUGGCUCUGAAGCGCGAAAGCGUGGGUAGCACACAGG